CGCGGCUGCCUCGGGUGUGUAGUCACUCUGUGUCUGCCGCGCAUCGCGCUCCACCUCUCCCGGAAGACUAGGGUGCUGGGCGGGCUCUAACCGGGGAUUAUCCCUGGGGGCAUAAAGAAGUGAAAGAGCUCCCUGGAGAGGAAACUGGCGUUUCCAGUCUGGCAGGAAGAGAGGGAAAGGCGAAGUUUACGAGCCACGAUUGGUCGCGCCUGGUCGCGCCUCCUAUGACGUCAGAGACAGAAACCAAUGGGAGUCCAAGGAUUUAACCUGAUGUCUCAAGCUCUUCAUCAGCAAAAACGUUUUAUGGCAGGCAGAAGGGCCACCUGAAAGAGACUUCUGCCACAUCGAAGCACGGAAGCUACAGGCAUUUGACCUGCAAGCCAGGGAGACACCAUGAUUGGAGGCUUCAAGCCAGGCUUGACAGCACCUAAACCACAAGACUGAAAACCAAACCCCAGAGGGGACAAGAGCACCUCUGAAUUCGUGCGGGACCAGAGAUGUGAGGACCAGACAUCUCCUGCUUCUCCUUGUCCUGGCACCUUACACAUUCCCUAACCAGACACAGUCCUGAGGAAGAGCGCUGGCCUCCCGUGAUAAGAUUAUUGUCACUGGCAGCUAAGUGGGGCUUAAAGUAGAAAUAAAGUUCAGUUACAGAAUAAAAGUUCCAUUUG
This is a long non-coding RNA of Budorcas taxicolor (takin), 671 nucleotides long. RefSeq lists it as uncharacterized. The transcript has 3 exons. NCBI's taxonomy places the organism in Eukaryota, Metazoa, Chordata, Mammalia, Artiodactyla, Bovidae. The record is from RefSeq and is a predicted model, not a curated record.